This is a long non-coding RNA of Lycium barbarum (goji berry), 4547 nucleotides long. RefSeq lists it as uncharacterized. The record is from RefSeq and is a predicted model, not a curated record. The transcript is spliced from 4 exons. NCBI's taxonomy places the organism in Eukaryota, Viridiplantae, Streptophyta, Magnoliopsida, Solanales, Solanaceae.
UUUCAGUUUCUUUUUAGGUUAUGCAGCUCAUAAAUAGAGCAGUUUUAAGCUCUGUUUUUUUAUUAAUUGAAAUUAAAACUUUAUUUUUUGAAUCAAUCAAUCUACUCAGAUGCUUGAAAUGGUGUUCUCUCAUUGAUUGACACUAUUUUCGUGUUAUCUUGAUGGUGGAUUAUAAGUUGCAAAUAAUUUUUUUUUGAGGAAAAAAUAUGUUUUUCCGCAUUUAGAGAGUUAUUUGCCACUAAUGGUCCUCCGUCAAGCGUGAAAAAUAGUGUCAAUUGGUGAUUGGAUCUCCAUGUGUUUGAGUUGGAUAAUGGAACGAGUGAUUGAUUGGUCCUUUACCGAUUUUUGAGGUUUUUGAGUAGGUGAACUUGUUCUUUUGUGUUUUUUUUUUUUUCCCUCAAAACCCUAGAUUGAUUUACCCCUUGAAGUUAAAUCUUAAUUUUUUGUUCUGGUCAUUUUCUAUUUCCUUAACCUUGGGUUUUAAGUGGGUUCAUGCAUACCAAACUCAUAAAUUUUCAUAAAUUUCACGGUUUAGAAGAGCAAUUUGGAACCUCCCUCAUGCAAUCUUCUUCCUGCGGCAAAAGCUUCUGAUGGAGGCACACAGUAACAAUGGAGUUCAUCACAAAAAUUCAAGUUGUUAACAGAUGUACACCUUGUUCUCCCUCGGGCUUGAUGUUUAGAACAAAUUUCAUAGAUCAUCACAAACGUCAUUAUCGGAACAACAUGUUCAUACAAGCUCCGCUGAUGAGACGAUGUAUGGGCUACGUUUGCGUACAUGUUGUUCCUAUAAUGGCGUUUGUGGUGAUAUAUGAAAUUUGUUCUAAACGUCAAGCUUCCAGGCAGAACAAGGAAUACAUCCGUUAACCACUUGAAUUGUUGUGAUGAACUCCAUCACUGUGUGCCUUCAUCAGAAGCAUUUUCUGCAAGAAGAGUAUUGUAAGAUCUGAAGCACCGAAUUGCUCUUCUAGACUGUGAAAUUUAUCAGUUUGAAAAUUUUACCUUGAGAGACAUUGCUUUCUGAAUGAAGAGUUUAAGGCAUUGGUCUAAAGCGAUUGUGAAAUUUUGUUAAUUGCGAUCUACAUUGGAUCUCACUCGAAUCACCCCAUCUAUCCUCGGGAGGAUGAGUUUGGUUUCAAAUCUCAGAUCGAACAGGAAGAGCAUGCCAUGCUAAUGUACCUCGGAUGAUCUACAUCUCAGGGUCAAUCGAUGAGCACAUUAACCUACGAUGACUUCAUCAAGGAUUUCUGAUUUUUAGCCAUUUUGAUUGGAUCAUUUAUGAUACCAAUUGAUUAACAAGCUCAGCUGCAGGAAAAGGAAAGCCUUCUCAAGCUUUAUGAUAGGAUCUUUAGUUACUGAUUACUUUCAUGUUUUCUGAAAUUGACUUGUUAAUAACCUGUUAUGGUGCACAAAGUAGCGUCCUCUCAAGGGGAAGUUUUACGUGCUAAAUUGUACUAGUACUAGUUUAUUUCUUUGUUCCUGAGAAGAUAGGUUAUUGUUGGCGUUCCUUUUGUUAUUAAAUAUAUGUAGAAGUUCGGAUACUAUUAUGAAUGAUUAGCUAUUCAGAACGGAAUGAACUUGACCUACUGUACAAUUCUAAAGUUUCUAUAGACAUUUGGAGAAGACUUCAUUGUAACUUUAGAUCAUAGUUAUGUUAUGAUCUAAUUAUAACAAUAAGAUGUGUAGAUGAAAAUGAGAGACAGAAACAUUGAUGCAUCGGAACCUAAAUAUCAGAAUCGCAUUGAUAUUGCCACCACCACCACAAACCCUCUCCGGGGAACCUGGAAUUUGGCAUCCAGAUCUACCCCCUGACAAUAUCUACUCAAACCUUAAUAUUAGACUAUUUUAGAUGAAGUUAGGUCCCUAACUUCCUUAGGAACUUGCUGAACUGUUUUGGUUUUGUUGCAACUACCCUGCCCUUUAUUAUUUUCUCUGGUGAUCUUGCAUUAUAUUAAACAUUAUUUAUCUGAAUUAUGGCAUUAAUGAGCAUUACUCGUAAAGACGAUACAGGUGAUUCCACCUUUGUGCUUACUACAUGUAUUUUCUGUAGCUUCUCGGACACGUUGAAGAUUGAAAUGCCAUUGUUUCCCUGUUGGGUUGGGUAUAUCGUGCUGACAAUUCUUUUGUCUGAUACCUUUACAUCUAUUCUAAUCGGUAUUGACCAGUGACCACUAUAACCUUUAAUCUUUGUUAUUUUUCAUAGCUUGGCUUGUGUGUCUUUGUGCUUCCAUUGUUGACUAUGAAUAUACAUGUCAAUUUAGAUUUGUUGCUUCGUAAUUAGGGAUCUCUUAAAUGAGUCAUGUCAUGCUCUUGGAAUAGGAAUCUUUUAUGUUGUUUUCAGUUAUUCACACUUCAUCGGGCCUUAUUUUACAUAAGUGCUAGCUACUUUUGCUAUGUACUGCAAUUACCUUUUUAGUACAUUUACCAAUAAAUAAGUAUGCAACUGGAAGGCAAGCUGAAAGGCUAGAAUUAGAACUUCAGUGACAUGUCCUUACUCAAGACUGUUAAUUCUUGACUGUCAAACUCAUACUGGAACCACUUUGCAGAAUAAACUACUAUAUUAAGAGUCAAAACUUACUUAACGCUCUAAGAAGUCAUUCAAUGCAACUUGGUAUAACAAUAUGGAACGUAAAACUGAGCAUGUAGUGGCUAGAAAGCUUAUAUACUUGAGUUAUCAAGCAGUCAGAAACUAGUAGAAAGCUAUCAGGAGACCUUUUAAAGAGCUGCAAUACUCGGGUAUUGUCAAACGUAAAAUAUGAAGGUGUAUCUGCUACCACAAUUUGAUUAUGAUCUUAGGAUGUCUAGUGUGCCCUUGCGAGGUCAUGAAAUUUUCGUGAAGUGUUGCAAUUGUAACGUGUUUAGUGGACAAAAUAGCUGUAGGCUUUUCAACAAUAAUUGUUGUUGAGGAACUCUUUCCUAGAAUCUCGUCGAUCAGAUUUUGUAGUGAACAGUAAGAGUUGUGCAGAUUUGUCGUGUAGAUCCCCUUCUGCACUUUUCCUAUUUGUCAAGUAACCUCUUCUUGCGCAGAUUUGUCGUGUAGAUCACAUUCUGUACUCUCCUUUUUGUCAAGUAAAUCCUCUUGUUGCGCAGAUUUGUCGUGUAGAUCCCAUUCUGCACUCUCCUAUUUGUGAACUAAAUCCUCUUGUUGCAGAUUUGUCGUGUAGAUCCCCUUCUGCACUUCCCUAUUUGUCAAGUAAACCCUCUUGUCCACGCAUUUUGCUCCCAUGGGUUGUUUCUAUUGGCCUUUCAAUGGCUUAUCCAAUUUCCUGUACUAGUUAACACAAGCCUUCAACUUUUUGAUGCAACAGUUCUUGGAACAACGGUAAAGUUGUCUCCGUUUGACCUAUAGGUCACGGGUUCGAGCCAUGAAAGCGGCCACCAAUGCUUGCAUUAGGGUGGGUUGUCUACAUCACACCCUUGGGGUGCGGCCCUUGCCUGGACCCUGCUAACGAUGAAUGCUUUGUGCAUCGGGCUACCCUUUUCUAGUUACUAUUAUUUUGUUCUUUCUGAUUUCCACUAACUGCCAAUGUAACAGGGAUUGCCACUAAGUUUGCUAUACUCCAUGGCUUCCAUUUAUGAUUUCCACUAACUGCCAAUGUAACAGGGAUUGCCACUAAGUUUGCUAUACUCCAUGGCUUCCAUUUACUAUCUUCCAGGUAUCCUUCUUUGUUUUUGUCAUGUGAUGUUUGUGUUAUAAUAAGGAAUCAGCAGUAAAUCGAAAACCUGAGCAGUCAGAACAAGGAAGGGUCUUAAUAUAAAAGCAAAUAGAAUGACUGUGGCGAAAUUGAGAUGUUGGAUUGUUUAUGGUUUGCUUUCAUAUUAGAUGAGCAAGGUAUGCUGAUUAUCGAGCUUGGGAGGCAACCAAGAUGUGCUGCUUAUCAUUCUACUAAGAUCUCUGAGAUUUGUUUCUUGAAUCCGACAGAGUGUACUUGGGUUCUGCUAAUAACUAAAAAGUUUAGCAUGCCUACUUCUAUCCGGGGUUCUAUCCGGGGUUCGCGUUGGUGGAGGAAUUGGAUUUUAAAAAAAAAAAGGGGGGGAUUCUGGAAUUGAGACUUAUUCUGCUGGACUCUUGCAGACUGCCUUGGUGUAAUCCUUUACCAUGAUUUGCACUUUUUGAGGUCAUCCAACAUGUCCAUGCUUUAGUGCUAGCUUCUAAGCUUUAUAAUGUUCACCACCGAGGGGUGGUGGUGGAAUGAAAAAUGUUCCUACACUUUUAACCAGACGUUUCAGGUUCAAGUUCGGUGAAUGGAAUCUUCUUUGAUAGGGAGCGUUGAAACCCCUUUCAACCCCCAUAGAGGGCUUUAUACGGCAGGAAUAUGGUAGAAUGGUGAAGGUGAAGGUGAAGGUGAAGGUGAAUGCAAGGUAGCAUUUUUAACCAGAGGGGUGUGGUGAAAUAGUGAAGUUUCCUCCACUUUUAAUCAAAGAUUUCGGGUUAAAGUUUUGGGAAUUAAAUCUCUUUUUGAUAGGGAGCAAUAAAACCUGUAUAGCGGAUUCUCUCAUUAAAUGCUAGUCACUCUUAUUUAUUAAGUAUACCAAGUGAAGUACAUAUA